RNAcentral lists this ribosomal RNA (502 nucleotides) under uncultured bacterium. RNAcentral describes it as "partial 16S ribosomal RNA". It matches the Rfam family "Bacterial small subunit ribosomal RNA", at positions 28 to 507 of the family's 1533-position model. The record is from RNAcentral.
GAUUAACGCUGGCGGCGUGCCUAACACAUGCAAGUCGAGCGGCAGCGAGUUUUACACUGAAUUCUGGAAGCUUCUAGUUGAAAGAGAAGAUUUAUUCAAGAAUUUUGUGUAAAAUGUCGGCGAGCGGCGGACGGCUGAGUAACGCGUGGGAACGUACCCCAAAGUGAGGGAUAACGCAUCGAAAGGUGUGCUAAUACCGCAUAUGGUCUUCGGAUUAAAGCCUUCGGGCGCUUUGGGAACGGCCUGCGUAAGAUUAGAUAGUUGGUGGGGUAAUGGCCUACCAAGUCGACGAUCGUUAACUGGUUUGAGAGGAUGAUCAGUCAGACUGGAACUGAGACACGGUCCAGACUCCUACGGGAGGCAGCAGUGAGGAAUCUUCCACAAUGGGCGAAAGCCUGAUGGAGCAACGCCGCGUGCAGGAUGAAGGCCUUCGGGUUGUAAACUGCUUUUAUAAGUGAGGAUUAUGACAGUAACUUAUGAAUAAGGAGCGGCUAACUACGUG